GAUGAACGCUGACAGAAUGCUUAACACAUGCAAGUCUACUUGAAUUUAGGUUUUUUAACUUCGAUUUGGGUGGCGGACGGGUGAGUAACGCGUAAAGAACUUGCCUCACAGUUAGGGACAACAUUUGGAAACGAAUGCUAAUACCUAAUAUUAUGAUUUUAGGGCAUCCUAUAAUUAUGAAAGCUAUAAGCGCUGUGAGAGAGCUUUGCGUCCCAUUAGCUAGUUGGAGAGGUAACGGCUCACCAAGGCGAUGAUGGGUAGCCGGCCUGAGAGGGUGAUCGGCCACAAGGGGACUGAGACACGGCCCUUACUCCUACGGGAGGCAGCAGUGGGGAAUAUUGGACAAUGGACCAAGAGUCUGAUCCAGCAAUUCUGUGUGCACGAUGAAGUUUUUCGGAAUGUAAAGUGCUUUCAGUUGGGAAGAAAAAAAUGACGGUACCAACAGAAGAAGUGACGGCUAAAUACGUGCCAGCAGCCGCGGUAAUACGUAUGUCACGAGCGUUAUCCGGAUUUAUUGGGCGUAAAGCGCGUCUAGGUGGUUAUAUAAGUCUGAUGUGAAAAUGCAGGGCUCAACUCUGUAUUGCGUUGGAAACUGUAUAACUAGAGUACUGGAGAGGUAAGCGGAACUACAAGUGUAGAGGUGAAAUUCGUAGAUAUUUGUAGGAAUGCCGAUGGGGAAGCCAGCUUACUGGACAGAUACUGACGCUAAAGCGCGAAAGCGUGGGUAGCAAACAGG
This 736-nucleotide ribosomal RNA is filed under the name uncultured Fusobacterium sp. RNAcentral describes it as "bacterial SSU rRNA". It matches the Rfam family "Bacterial small subunit ribosomal RNA", at positions 28 to 776 of the family's 1533-position model. The record is from RNAcentral. Lineage: Bacteria; Fusobacteriati; Fusobacteriota; Fusobacteriia; Fusobacteriales; Fusobacteriaceae.